RNAcentral lists this long non-coding RNA (391 nucleotides) under Ananas comosus (pineapple). Its description in RNAcentral is "long non-coding RNA (ACOM_LNC008250)". Lineage: Eukaryota; Viridiplantae; Streptophyta; Magnoliopsida; Poales; Bromeliaceae. The record is from RNAcentral.
GUAAAUAAUAAAUAGGGCAAACUUCAAAAUACCAUAUCUGUUGUUUCGUCCCUUCUCACUUUAGUAUCUUAUAAUUUGAAAUGUAUUAAUUUAGUAUUAUUUAGUUUUAUUUUUUUCUUUUUGUCAGUCUUUUUGUUAAUAUUUUGUUAAAUUAUAUACAAAAAAUUUCAAAUACCCACCUAACUUUAUUGAAUAUUCACUUUAGUAUUCUUUAGUUUAACUUUGCCGCUGAUUUAAGAAAAAAAAUUUGAAAUUAAUAAUAAAAAGAAAAAAAAGGAAACCACAUGUCACUAAAUUGAUACACUUUAAACCACAUGGUACUAAAGUGAGAAAGUGCGAAAUCACAGAAGUGGUAUUUAAAAUAUUUUCUAAUAAAUAUGCAAUGUAGUUU